UGAUCAGAGUAGCCAUUUGGAGGAGAUUAGAGUUGAAUUGCAAAAAUUUUUGAAGUUGAGUAAAAAUGGCCGAGAGCGAUACAACCUGCAGCACAACCGAGUUAGCUUAUGUCGCAAGUUGUGUCGAUCGUCAGAUAUUCAGGCCGAGAGCUACACAACCCGCGACACAACCCCCGACAUAACCGAUCUAGCUUAUGUCAUUUUUACUGGAAAUGGUUGACGUGGCAUUUCCAUUACUCUGGCUUUUUACCUCACUUUCUCUGGAACCUUCCCCCUUUUACCCAUUCUAGGGCAGUGCCCUCACCUAUAUAAAGUCCCCUUUAUCAUUUUCUUUCCAUAGAGAGCAAGGGAG
RNAcentral lists this unclassified non-coding RNA (352 nucleotides) under Hevea brasiliensis (rubber tree). Lineage: Eukaryota; Viridiplantae; Streptophyta; Magnoliopsida; Malpighiales; Euphorbiaceae. The record is from RNAcentral.